This is an RNA transcript of Gossypium raimondii (Peruvian cotton), 884 nucleotides long. RefSeq lists it as uncharacterized. The record is from RefSeq and is a predicted model, not a curated record. Lineage: Eukaryota; Viridiplantae; Streptophyta; Magnoliopsida; Malvales; Malvaceae. The transcript is spliced from 6 exons.
GAUUUUUUCCUCUAGUCAGCAGCCGACUCCCUUAGUCACUUAACACUUCUAAAUCCCUAGCCACCAUCACUUCCCUACCCUCUUAAUCCCUUUUCCCAUUGCCACUCCAACACCCACUAGCCACCAGUCGGCACACGGUAGUCACCACCCUUUCCCUUUUCUCCUUUUCCUCUUCCCACUAUCGCCACCAACCCACCACCAUCAGAAAUCAGAAAUCAGAAAUCAACCCGCAGCCGACUCCCUCUUUCCCUAUUCUCUUUUUCAUCUUUCCACUGUCAUGUUUCAAGCAAACCCACCACUCUCUUGAAAAUUCGACCUCCAGCAUUCUCCUCAUAGCCUCACUAGAGGAUUUCUUGUCGAUGCUGCAAUAGCUGGAAUUUUACAUGUUACAGCAUUGAAGAUAUUUGAUAAGAGUGCAAGAUGCUCUCAAGGGAAAUUCCAUAGAAAUUACAGAGGAUAGCCUCUUAGGGUUGAAGUAUGAUCCUGCAUCGAUUUGGGGUUAUUUUGAGCUUCACAUUGAACAAGGACCUGUACUAGAAUUGGUUGGUUUUCCUCUUACUGUAGUUAAAGGCAUAGCUACCCAGACAGGAAUGAAGAUGAUGAAGCAAAGGCACAAAGUGGAGAGAGAAGCAAACAUUAUGCCGAAAUUGGAUGGUCGAAGAAUUAGGAAGUUGCCAAGAUACAAAGCUUGUAGCCAUGAACAAGAAAUUUGGAAUGAUUCAUGGGUUAUCUUCACUUGCAAGAAUUUUCAAAUUCAUUUGUUUACUUCUGUAGAUUGGGUUGAAUGCUGGUUGCAUACAUUUCGGCUAAAUGUUAGUGUAUUUUAAUUAUUGGAUCGAUUUUUGUAGUGAAUAUUCAACAUUUAUAUUACUUUUACUUUUAUA